UGAGGAAUAUUGGUCAAUGGGCGAGAGCCUGAACCAGCCAAAUCGCGUGAAGGAAGACUGCCUUAUGGGUUGUAAACUUCUUUUAUACAGGAAUAAAAAAGGGGACGUGUCCCUUAUUGCAUGUACUGUAUGAAUAGCAUCGGCUAACUCCGUGCCAGCAGCCGCGGUAAUACGGAGGAUGCGAGCGUUAUCCGGAUUUAUUGGGUUUAAAGGGUGCGCAGGCGGGCUUUUAAGUCAGCGGUGAAAUCUCGGGGCUUAACUCCGAAACUGCCGUUGAAACUGGGAGUCUUGAGUAUGGAUGAAGUAGGCGGAAUUCGUUGUGUAGCGGUGACAUGCUUAGAUAUAACGAGGAACUCCGAUUGCGUAGGCAGCUUACUAAGCCAUAACUGACGCUCAAGCACGAAAGCGUGGGGAUCAAACAGGAUUAGAUACCCUGGUAGUCCACGCCGUAAACGAUGAUUACUAGUUGUAUGCGAUAUACCGUAUGUGACUAAGCGAAAGCGAUAAGUAAUCCACCUGGGGAGUACGCCGGCAACGGUGAAACUCAAAGGAAUUGACGGGGUCAUAGCUGUUUCCUG
RNAcentral lists this ribosomal RNA (578 nucleotides) under uncultured bacterium. RNAcentral describes it as "partial 16S ribosomal RNA". It matches the Rfam family "Bacterial small subunit ribosomal RNA", at positions 355 to 1376 of the family's 1533-position model. The record is from RNAcentral.